Scophthalmus maximus (turbot) is the source of this 3324-nucleotide long non-coding RNA. RefSeq lists it as uncharacterized. NCBI's taxonomy places the organism in Eukaryota, Metazoa, Chordata, Actinopteri, Pleuronectiformes, Scophthalmidae. The record is from RefSeq and is a predicted model, not a curated record. The transcript has 3 exons.
CAACACCAUAAAAACCAGGAAAUUCUGAUUCUCUCUCAAACCAUUGACCUGCAUGGUGGCUCUGAACGAAGGAACAAACAAUUUAGCUUGAGGAACGACGCUGCUUUGGUGUUUGGUUUGAAUUGUCCCCAAAGAUGAAAAGGUAUGUAACCAAAAUAUGAUUGGAAAUUGCGUGCCAAGAGUUAAAAAGAGCAGUGAGCAGACACGCGUGCUCUAGAACUAGCUAACGAGCUAAAUGUUAGCAUGCCACCUAGCCUCAGACAUGCUAGGGCAGCCUGGAACGGUGGCCAUCUUUGUGGUAAAUCCUCAUAUGGGACGCUUCAUUCAAGAGAUUAAUUGACUGCCAUUUCAGUAAAUCAGGACAAAAGGGAUUUCCAGCGGAGCAAUAUUUGUGUCAUAGUGGUCAUUCUUAAUUAUUUUGUCAGGGAAAUAGCUUGAGCACAUGGUCAAAAAUUAGUAACUAUCAAUACAGUCUGGGUCAACUCAGACUGACACACACCAAAGACUUUCGAGGAUAUAAGGAUGAGCUUGGAAACCGUCAUCUCCAUCACUUUUCAAAUCUUCUGAAGAGAGAGAGAGAGAGAGAGAGAGAGAGAGAGCGAGCGAAAGACCAAGAACCCUCUAUGGAAAAUGCUGGUAUGGAAACCUAUUGCGAGUACAUUCAAUUUUUUUAGGAUGUUUGAUGUUUACAGAGGUCUGAAAACAAACAUAUUUUUCCACAGAGCAUAACAUGAUUACCUUUGGUACAGAGUUUGACCUCAUAGACAACGACUGUGUAUAUUGUUAUACUAUGUAUUUAAUAUAUUUUAACAAGGACUUAACCGUAAUCAUUCACCAGUCUCUCCUUUUUAGAUUCAGCGUCUGAGUUGUGGGAAAUUGAUGAAUUUGCCCGCCAGCAGCUAGAUCUGGAACAAGCACAGCCGCAGCAGACAUACUCGGUUACAUCCGAGUAUGUUACAUCAAUCUUUUAUCCCCCGACCCGGACGAGAUUCCUGAGGUGUACGGGUUGAACCAGCAGCAGCAGCAGCAGCAGGAGCAGCAGCAGCAGCAGCAGCAGCAGCAGCAGCAGGAGCAGCAGGAGCAGCAGGACAGGCCUGUCGUUACAGAGGUGGAUCAGCAGAGGGACCAAACCACCGUGCCAGUGGUUAUCGUGUUUCCCCAACCGACCGACCAGGCAGCCAUAGGCCUUCUGUCACCCCCCCAAUCACCAACACCCGUCUCUGGAGAGACAGCAAGUGGCCAAGAAGUAGAGGAUUUUCUCACCAUUCAGAGGUCGAGGGCUCAUCUGACUUCAGAGCUCCGAGGGUUCGACGCAGAAUUGAUCAGAAAGGAAGCUCGCAGCAGAGGGGAAACUGCUGUCCUAAAUGCGCUUCUAGCGCAGAGAGGUGCGACUUCUGAAUCAGCAGAGACGCGAAGAGGCACUGAUUCAGCAUCAGAGGUUGUAUGAAGUAACCGCCUCUUUACUGCGUUUCAUGCAGCGUGCGAGACUUGAGUAGAUGCUGUACAGGGUUCUGUAAAAGAAGUGUUGUGAUUGUAACCUUUUUUUCUGGUUUGAUUUUUUUUGUUAUUCUUUUAUGCUGUGUACAUUUGUUUUUCCGCAUCUGCUAAUACAAUGGACCUAAACAUACCAGACAUGCGUGACCCAUUUUUUUGCCAUCAACCAUACUAGUACACAGAUCGAAGCAAAUCAACAUGAGCAAUCAGAUAAAUCCCAGUAAUGAACCCACAAAUGCUAAUAACAUCGUCGAUGUACAGCCUCUUCUUUGAAGAUUUAAACGUUUUAAAUAAUCCACAGAAUCAACAAGGUGCAGGAAACCCCGAUCCUCAGCCCCGCAGCGCAGCCCAGCUGUUCAAAUCAUAAUCCAGUUGAUUGAGCUCACCAUGAACCAUCAACAACUAGACGCGAGAGAUUUAACAACGUCGAAAUUAUUCAGCCUCUCGACAUUGUUAGGCGUGAAGACAAGCUUAAUUUUGCAGAAUAUUCUAGGGUGAUGGGUAUGUUGGAGACCGCUGCCGAAAGAGCCUUUCAACAGGCGGGUCGACAAGACGUGGUGCAAUUUGAGCUGAGGUGAUAAUCUGAAUCAUGACGCCUCUGUCAUCUUGAGGGGAGGAGGGUGACCGCAUUGUGCAAUCAAACAUGACCGUCAACGGUAAUCUGCAUGUAGUAGCGCAAAUCAUAAGAAACCCUCAUGGUGCCGGUUAAAGACUUAGCAGAAACAUUAGACAGCAAAAUCUUUAAAAAGACGUUUUUCUAUAUGUUGUCGAUAAUGAGCAGUCUGUUUUGCUAUGAAUUUAGCUCAUCUACUCAACCCUAACAUCACAGAUAAUGAAGCGCUAACGAUUGGUAAAAGCAUGCAAAACAGCGCGGGAAUGAGCGAUGACACGGCUGUAACAGGGAUAUACCGAAAUUUGAAGCCUAACUCAACUGUAAAAUUGUUGUACUAUUCAGGACCGAUGCUAAACGCACUUUCUAAAUUUGUAACCGACAGCCCAAGUAAAGACAAUUUCCUGUUUCUGCAUGAAAACCACUAUUAUGGCAUCAUCAGCGCAAAAGCCUUUCUCGGAUGUAAAAACGUGUAAUUAUUGUUAUGAGGGGUAUAACAGUCCGGCAACGCACAGAUGUCCGGGUCAUUGUAGCGUGUGUUUACACCCGAGUUGCACCGAUCAUCCCACACGUGCCUUAGUCCGUCCUGACUGUACUAGAACGUGUCGCUCGCCUUUGUGUUUUAACAACCAUAAAGAGCCAAAAGACAGACCCCCGGUUCAGAAACGCGUCAGUCAAUCUUGCAAAAAUGUUUAAAUUGCAACUGCGUUACUACGUCCCCCUGACUGGUCCAAUUAAACCGCACGAGUGUUCGAAGCUAAAUGUAAAAUUUGCAGCUGCACUGCUGAAAGCGAGGCCCACCGUUGAAACCAGAAAUAGAGUACAGCGAGAAAUUGAUUACUACGAUUUCGAGGCGUAUCUAGACGCGAAGGGUGUGCACGUCCCUUUUCUGAUAUGCACAAAAACGCUGGACAGUAAAACUUGGAACGCUUAUGGGGAAGCUUGUGCCGUACGCUUCAUCCUGCAUUUCAGGAGGCCCCUGUUCAAAAACUCUGUUUUCAUCGCUCACAACUCCAGAGGCUUCGAGAGUUACCUACUCAUCAAAGCUAUGCUAACGUUAAACAUUCUUCCUGGUUUCACCAUGCAAGGUAGUAAAGUCAUUUGUUUCACAGACGAUGAGCACAAGCACAAGUAUGUGGAUUCGCUCCGCUUCCUCACCAUGCGUCUAGCUGACAUGCCAAAAGCACUGGGGUUUGAAGAUGCCGUCAAGGGCUUCCCCC